GCGGGAAUGCUGGAAUUGGCAGACAGGCAAGACUAAGGAUCUUGUGUCCGAUAGGACGUGUGGGUUCAAGUCCCACUUCCCGCA
This 84-nucleotide transfer RNA is filed under the name Oribacterium sp. oral taxon 102. RNAcentral's name for it is "tRNA-Leu". It matches the Rfam family "tRNA". Rfam says of the family: Transfer RNA (tRNA) molecules are approximately 80 nucleotides in length. Their secondary structure includes four short double-helical elements and three loops (D, anti-codon, and T loops). RNAcentral also lists the same sequence under 1 other name. Lineage: Bacteria; Bacillati; Bacillota; Clostridia; Lachnospirales; Lachnospiraceae. The record is from RNAcentral.